UGGGGAAUUUUGGACAAUGGGCGCAAGCCUGAUCCAGCAAUGCCGCGUGCAGGAAGAAGGCCUUCGGGUUGUAAACUGCUUUUGUCAGGGAAGAAAUCCCUUGGGAUAAUACCCCGGGGGGAUGACGGUACCUGAAGAAUAAGCACCGGCUAACUACGUGCCAGCAGCCGCGGUAAUACGUAGGGUGCGAGCGUUAAUCGGAAUUACUGGGCGUAAAGCGUGCGCAGGCGGCUUUGCAAGACAGAUGUGAAAUCCCCGGGCUCAACCUGGGAACUGCAUUUGUGACUGCAAGGCUAGAGUACGGUAGAGGGGGAUGGAAUUCCGCGUGUAGCAGUGAAAUGCGUAGAUAUGCGGAGGAACACCAAUGGCGAAGGCAAUCCCCUGGACCUGUACUGACGCUCAUGCACGAAAGCGUGGGGAGCAAACAGG
This 429-nucleotide ribosomal RNA is filed under the name uncultured Comamonadaceae bacterium. Its description in RNAcentral is "bacterial SSU rRNA". It matches the Rfam family "Bacterial small subunit ribosomal RNA", at positions 355 to 776 of the family's 1533-position model. The record is from RNAcentral. Lineage: Bacteria; Pseudomonadati; Pseudomonadota; Betaproteobacteria; Burkholderiales; Comamonadaceae.